RNAcentral lists this ribosomal RNA (2933 nucleotides) under Escherichia coli M8. RNAcentral's name for it is "bacterial LSU rRNA". It matches the Rfam family "Bacterial large subunit ribosomal RNA". Lineage: Bacteria; Pseudomonadati; Pseudomonadota; Gammaproteobacteria; Enterobacterales; Enterobacteriaceae. The record is from RNAcentral.
GGGUUGUGAGGUUAAGCGACUAAGCGUACACGGUGGAUGCCCUGGCAGUCAGAGGCGAUGAAGGACGUGCUAAUCUGCGAUAAGCGUCGGUAAGGUGAUAUGAACCGUUAUAACCGGCGAUUUCCGAAUGGGGAAACCCAGUGUGAUUCGUCACACUAUCAUUAACUGAAUCCAUAGGUUAAUGAGGCGAACCGGGGGAACUGAAACAUCUAAGUACCCCGAGGAAAAGAAAUCAACCGAGAUUCCCCCAGUAGCGGCGAGCGAACGGGGAGCAGCCCAGAGCCUGAAUCAGUGUGUGUGUUAGUGGAAGCGUCUGGAAAGGCGUGCGAUACAGGGUGACAGCCCCGUACACAAAAAUGCACAUGCUGUGAGCUCGAUGAGUAGGGCGGGACACGUGGUAUCCUGUCUGAAUAUGGGGGGACCAUCCUCCAAGGCUAAAUACUCCUGACUGACCGAUAGUGAACCAGUACCGUGAGGGAAAGGCGAAAAGAACCCCGGCGAGGGGAGUGAAAAAGAACCUGAAACCGUGUACGUACAAGCAGUGGGAGCACAGAGCAAUCUGUGUGACUGCGUACCUUUUGUAUAAUGGGUCAGCGACUUAUAUUCUGUAGCAAGGUUAACCGAAUAGGGGAGCCGAAGGGAAACCGAGUCUUAACUGGGCGUUAAGUUGCAGGGUAUAGACCCGAAACCCGGUGAUCUAGCCAUGGGCAGGUUGAAGGUUGGGUAACACUAACUGGAGGACCGAACCGACUAAUGUUGAAAAAUUAGCGGAUGACUUGUGGCUGGGGGUGAAAGGCCAAUCAAACCGGGAGAUAGCUGGUUCUCCCCGAAAGCUAUUUAGGUAGCGCCUCGUGAAUUCAUCUCCGGGGGUAGAGCACUGUUUCGGCAAGGGGGUCAUCCCGACUUACCAACCCGAUGCAAACUGCGAAUACCGGAGAAUGUUAUCACGGGAGACACACGGCGGGUGCUAACGUCCGUCGUGAAGAGGGAAACAACCCAGACCGCCAGCUAAGGUCCCAAAGUCAUGGUUAAGUGGGAAACGAUGUGGGAAGGCCCAGACAGCCAGGAUGUUGGCUUAGAAGCAGCCAUCAUUUAAAGAAAGCGUAAUAGCUCACUGGUCGAGUCGGCCUGCGCGGAAGAUGUAACGGGGCUAAACCAUGCACCGAAGCUGCGGCAGCGACGCUUAUGCGUUGUUGGGUAGGGGAGCGUUCUGUAAGCCUGCGAAGGUGUGCUGUGAGGCAUGCUGGAGGUAUCAGAAGUGCGAAUGCUGACAUAAGUAACGAUAAAGCGGGUGAAAAGCCCGCUCGCCGGAAGACCAAGGGUUCCUGUCCAACGUUAAUCGGGGCAGGGUGAGUCGACCCCUAAGGCGAGGCCGAAAGGCGUAGUCGAUGGGAAACAGGUUAAUAUUCCUGUACUUGGUGUUACUGCGAAGGGGGGACGGAGAAGGCUAUGUUGGCCGGGCGACGGUUGUCCCGGUUUAAGCGUGUAGGCUGGUUUUCCAGGCAAAUCCGGAAAAUCAAGGCUGAGGCGUGAUGACGAGGCACUACGGUGCUGAAGCAACAAAUGCCCUGCUUCCAGGAAAAGCCUCUAAGCAUCAGGUAACAUCAAAUCGUACCCCAAACCGACACAGGUGGUCAGGUAGAGAAUACCAAGGCGCUUGAGAGAACUCGGGUGAAGGAACUAGGCAAAAUGGUGCCGUAACUUCGGGAGAAGGCACGCUGAUAUGUAGGUGAAGUCCCUCGCGGAUGGAGCUGAAAUCAGUCGAAGAUACCAGCUGGCUGCAACUGUUUAUUAAAAACACAGCACUGUGCAAACACGAAAGUGGACGUAUACGGUGUGACGCCUGCCCGGUGCCGGAAGGUUAAUUGAUGGGGUUAGCGCAAGCGAAGCUCUUGAUCGAAGCCCCGGUAAACGGCGGCCGUAACUAUAACGGUCCUAAGGUAGCGAAAUUCCUUGUCGGGUAAGUUCCGACCUGCACGAAUGGCGUAAUGAUGGCCAGGCUGUCUCCACCCGAGACUCAGUGAAAUUGAACUCGCUGUGAAGAUGCAGUGUACCCGCGGCAAGACGGAAAGACCCCGUGAACCUUUACUAUAGCUUGACACUGAACAUUGAGCCUUGAUGUGUAGGAUAGGUGGGAGGCUUUGAAGUGUGGACGCCAGUCUGCAUGGAGCCGACCUUGAAAUACCACCCUUUAAUGUUUGAUGUUCUAACGUUGACCCGUGAUCCGGGUUGCGGACAGUGUCUGGUGGGUAGUUUGACUGGGGCGGUCUCCUCCUAAAGAGUAACGGAGGAGCACGAAGGUUGGCUAAUCCUGGUCGGACAUCAGGAGGUUAGUGCAAUGGCAUAAGCCAGCUUGACUGCGAGCGUGACGGCGCGAGCAGGUGCGAAAGCAGGUCAUAGUGAUCCGGUGGUUCUGAAUGGAAGGGCCAUCGCUCAACGGAUAAAAGGUACUCCGGGGAUAACAGGCUGAUACCGCCCAAGAGUUCAUAUCGACGGCGGUGUUUGGCACCUCGAUGUCGGCUCAUCACAUCCUGGGGCUGAAGUAGGUCCCAAGGGUAUGGCUGUUCGCCAUUUAAAGUGGUACGCGAGCUGGGUUUAGAACGUCGUGAGACAGUUCGGUCCCUAUCUGCCGUGAGCGCUGGAGAACUGAGGGGGGCUGCUCCUAGUACGAGAGGACCGGAGUGGACGCAUCACUGGUGUUCGGGUUGUCAUGCCAAUGGCACUGCCCGGUAGCUAAAUGCGGAAGAGAUAAGUGCUGAAAGCAUCUAAGCACGAAACUUGCCCCGAGAUGAGUUCUCCCUGACUCCUUGAGAGUCCUGAAGGAACGUUGAAGACGACGACGUUGAUAGGCCGGGUGUGUAAGCGCAGCGAUGCGUUGAGCUAACCGGUACUAAUGAACCGUGAGGCUUAACCUUACAACGCCGAAGGUGUUU